CAGCAGCACUGAGCAGGCACCGUGUAUGCAAAGGGGAUAACAGACAGAUGAGGUAACAAUGCCGCAUAAAAAGGAUGCUGAUGCAGGGUGAAGAAUGUGUAAAAAUGUACGGUACGGAUAUCAAUUUGCCAUACAAAAAUGUCUGUUUACAUAUGCAAACUGUUGUGAUCCACGACAGAGCCUUCAGUUUCUACAUACUAUCUUUUUUACCAGAGCAAAUUACGGCAUGUACACAUUUGCUAACCCAAAGAUGAAAUUCGUAAGGACUAAUAGACGAAUCAAGACCAUAUUGUUAAAGUGAAGCUCAGAUUGACAAAUAACCAUUCUCCUCUAUUUUGUUCAAUUUGAAAAUGAUUUACUAUGUCCCUAAACCACAUAAUUCAAAACAAAUCUCAGGGCCACCAGCAGCCAGAGUAGCAAUGUGCAAAGCACCGUCCUAGGGCAAUAAACAGAAGAUCUAACAUGAUUAUUAAAAUGUCCAAAGCGCUCUCACCUGGCCAUGAGCCUCCAUUGUGGUAGCUCCACCUGGUGUUCUUCGGGUCGCAUCCAGUGACUAUCUGCCAUUCCUGAUUUUCCAUUGCAGGGUAACAGAUCUUGAGUGGCAUCUCCCCGAUGAGUUCUUCCCAGCGCUCCUCCACAAGAUCCAGUAUAGCUUCAGCCUGUUCCCCAGUUGCUAAUGACGACAGAAUUGCA
RNAcentral lists this long non-coding RNA (693 nucleotides) under Setaria italica (foxtail millet). RNAcentral's name for it is "long non-coding RNA (SITA_LNC000201)". The record is from RNAcentral. Lineage: Eukaryota; Viridiplantae; Streptophyta; Magnoliopsida; Poales; Poaceae.